AAGUCGAACGCCCCGCAAGGGGAGUGGCAGACGGGUGAGUAACGCGUGGGAAUAUACCCUUCAGUUCGGAAUAGCUCUGGGAAACUGGAAUUAAUACCGGAUACGUCCUACGGGAGAAAGAUUUAUCGCUGAAGGAUUAGCCCGCGUCGGAUUAGCUAGUUGGUGAGGUAACGGCCCACCAAGGCGAUGAUCCGUAGCUGGUUUGAGAGAACGACCAGCCACACUGGGACUGAGACACGGCCCAGACUCCUACGGGAGGCAGCAGUGGGGAAUCUUGGACAAUGGGCGCAAGCCUGAUCCAGCCAUGCCGCGUGAGUGAAGAAGGCCCUAGGGUUGUAAAGCUCUUUCGCCGACGAAGAUAAUGACGGUAGUCGGAGAAGAAGCCCCGGCUAACUUCGUGCCAGCAGCCGCGGUGAUACGAAGGGGGCUAGCGUUGUUCGGAAUUACUGGGCGUAAAGCGCACGUAGGCGGACUGUUAAGUCGGGGGUGAAAGCCCAGGGCUCAACCCUGGAAUUGCCUUCGAUACUGGCAGUCUCGAGAAUGGGAGAGGUGAGUGGAAUUCCUAGUGUAGAGGUGAAAUUCGUAGAUAUUAGGAAGAACACCAGUGGCGAAGGCGGCUCACUGGCCCAUUUCUGACGCUGAGGUGCGAAAGCGUGGGGA
This 660-nucleotide ribosomal RNA is filed under the name uncultured bacterium. Its description in RNAcentral is "bacterial SSU rRNA". It matches the Rfam family "Bacterial small subunit ribosomal RNA", at positions 59 to 767 of the family's 1533-position model. The record is from RNAcentral.